This 253-nucleotide ribosomal RNA is filed under the name uncultured bacterium. Its description in RNAcentral is "partial 16S ribosomal RNA". It matches the Rfam family "Bacterial small subunit ribosomal RNA", at positions 524 to 776 of the family's 1533-position model. The record is from RNAcentral.
UACGAAGGGUGCUAGCGUUGUUCGGAAUAACUGGGCGUAAAGGGCGUGUAGGCGGCGUCAUGCGUCAGAUGUGAAAGUCCUGGGCUUAACCUAGGGACUGCAUUUGAUACGGUGAUGCUAGAGGUCAUGAGAGGGAAACGGAAUUGCGCAUGUAGAAGUGAAAUUCGUAGAGAUGCGCAGGAACACCAGUGGCGAAGGCGGUUUCCUGGCAUUGACCUGACGCUAAAGCGCGAAAGCGUGGGGAGCAAACAGG